UGCAGUCGAACGAUGAAGGAGGAGCUUGCUCCUCUGGAUUAGUGGCGAACGGGUGAGUAACACGUGAGCAAUCUGCCCUUGACUCUGGGAUAAGCGCUGGAAACGGCGUCUAAUACCGGAUACGACCCUCGGAGGCAUCUCCUGUGGGUGGAAAGAACUUCGGUCAAGGAUGAGCUCGCGGCCUAUCAGCUUGUUGGUGAGGUAAUGGCUCACCAAGGCGACGACGGGUAGCCGGCCUGAGAGGGUGACCGGCCACACUGGGACUGAGACACGGCCCAGACUCCUACGGGAGGCAGCAGUGGGGAAUAUUGCACAAUGGGCGCAAGCCUGAUGCAGCAACGCCGCGUGAGGGACGACGGCCUUCGGGUUGUAAACCUCUUUUAGCAGGGAAGAAGCGAGAGUGACGGUACCUGCAGAAAAAGCACCGGCUAACUACGUGCCAGCAGCCGCGGUAAUACGUAGGGUGCAAGCGUUGUCCGGAAUUAUUGGGCGUAAAGAGCUCGUAGGCGGUCUGUCGCGUCUGCUGUGAAAACCCGAGGCUCAACCUCGGGCUUGCAGUGGGUACGGGCAGACUAGAGUGCGGUAGGGGAGAUUGGAAUUCCUGGUGUAGCGGUGGAAUGCGCAGAUAUCAGGAGGAACACCGAUGGCGAAGGCAGAUCUCUGGGCCGUAACUGACGCUGAGGAGCGAAAGCGUGGGGAGCAAACAGGCUUAGAUACCCUGGUAGUCCACGCCGUAAACGUUGGGAACUAGAUGUGGGGACCAUUCCACGGUCUCCGUGUCGUAGCUAACG
RNAcentral lists this ribosomal RNA (791 nucleotides) under Agrococcus terreus. RNAcentral's name for it is "bacterial SSU rRNA". It matches the Rfam family "Bacterial small subunit ribosomal RNA", at positions 56 to 857 of the family's 1533-position model. Lineage: Bacteria; Bacillati; Actinomycetota; Actinomycetes; Micrococcales; Microbacteriaceae. The record is from RNAcentral.